RNAcentral lists this microRNA precursor (56 nucleotides) under Pristionchus pacificus. RNAcentral's name for it is "microRNA ppc-mir-8355 precursor". The record is from miRBase by way of RNAcentral. Lineage: Eukaryota; Metazoa; Nematoda; Chromadorea; Rhabditida; Neodiplogasteridae.
ACUUGCGCCGUUGAACGCUGCUCACUGGUCUUGAUUAGCGUAAACGGGUCAAGUGC